RNAcentral lists this ribosomal RNA (253 nucleotides) under uncultured bacterium. RNAcentral's name for it is "partial 16S ribosomal RNA". It matches the Rfam family "Bacterial small subunit ribosomal RNA", at positions 524 to 776 of the family's 1533-position model. The record is from RNAcentral.
UACGUAGGGACCGAGCGUUGUCCGGAUUCAUUGGGCGUAAAGAGCUCGUAGGCGGCUGUUCAAGUCGAACGUGAAAACUCGGAGCUCAACUCCGAGCCUGCGUUCGAUACUGGACGGCUAGAGUCUGGUAGGGGGAUCUGGAAUUCCUGGUGUAGCGGUGGAAUGCGCAGAUAUCAGGAGGAACACCGGUGGCGAAGGCGGGUCUCUGGGCAGUAACUGACGCUGAGGAGCGAAAGCGUGGGGAGCGAACAGG